This 387-nucleotide ribosomal RNA is filed under the name uncultured bacterium. RNAcentral describes it as "bacterial SSU rRNA". It matches the Rfam family "Bacterial small subunit ribosomal RNA", at positions 30 to 419 of the family's 1533-position model. The record is from RNAcentral.
AUUGAACGCUGGCGGCAUGCCUUACACAUGCAAGUCGAACGGCAGCACGGGAGCAAUCCUGGUGGCGAGUGGCGAACGGGUGAGUAAUAUAUCGGAACGUGCCCAGUCGUGGGGAUAACGUAGCGAAAGCUACGCUAAUACCGCAUACUAUCUAUGGAUGAAANCGGGGGAUCGCAAGACCUCGCGCGAUUGGAGCGGCCGAUAUCAGAUUAGGUAGUUGGUGAGGUAAAGGCUCACCAAGCCGACGAUCUGUAGCUGGUCUGAGAGGACGACCAGCCACACUGGGACUGAGACACGGCCCAGACUCCUACGGAGGCAGCAGUGGGGAAUAUUGGACAAUGGGCGAAAGCCUGAUCCAGCAAUGCCGCGUGAGUGAUGAAGGCCUUA